CCUACGGGAGGCAGCAGUAGGGAAUCUUCCGCAAUGGACGAAAGUCUGACGGAGCAACGCCGCGUGAACGAUGAAGGCCUUCGGGUCGUAAAGUUCUGUUGUUAGGGAAGAACAAGUGCUAGUUGAAUAAGCUGGCACCUUGACGGUACCUAACCAGAAAGCCACGGCUAACUACGUGCCAGCAGCCGCGGUAAUACGUAGGUGGCAAGCGUUGUCCGGAAUUAUUGGGCGUAAAGCGCGCGCAGGCGGUUUCUUAAGUCUGAUGUGAAAGCCCCCGGCUCAACCGGGGAGGGUCAUUGGAAACUGGGAAACUUGAGUGCAGAAGAGGAAAGUGGAAUUCCAAGUGUAGCGGUGAAAUGCGUAGAGAUUUGGAGGAACACCAGUGGCGAAGGCGACUUUCUGGUCUGUAACUGACGCUGAGGCGCGAAAGCGUGGGGAGCAAACAGGAUUAGAUACCCUGGUAGUCCACGCUGUAAACGAUGAGUGCUAAGUGUUAGAGGGUUUCCGCCUUUAGUGCUGAAGUUAACGCAUUAAGCACUCCGCCUGGGGAGUACGGUCGCAAGCUGAAACUCAAAGGAAUUGACGG
This 586-nucleotide ribosomal RNA is filed under the name uncultured bacterium. Its description in RNAcentral is "bacterial SSU rRNA". It matches the Rfam family "Bacterial small subunit ribosomal RNA", at positions 338 to 916 of the family's 1533-position model. The record is from RNAcentral.